UCAAGUGAAGAAGCGCAUACGGUGGAUGCCUUGGCAGUCAGAGGCGAUGAAAGACGUGGUAGCCUGCGAAAAGCUUCGGGGAGUCGGCAAACAGACUGUGAUCCGGAGAUGUCUGAAUGGGGGAACCCAGCCAUCAUAAGAUGGUUAUCUUGUACUGAAUACAUAGGUGCAAGAGGCGAACCAGGGGAACUGAAACAUCUAAGUACCCUGAGGAAAAGAAAUCAACCGAGAUUCCCUUAGUAGUGGCGAGCGAACGGGGACCAGCCCUUAAGUUGUAUUGAGAUUAGCGGAACACUCUGGAAAGGGUGGCCAUAGUGGGUGAUAGCCCUGUACGCGAAAAUCCCUUUGCAAUGAAAUCGAGUAGGACGGGGCACGAGAAACCUUGUCUGAAUAUGGGGGGACCAUCCUCCAAGGCUAAAUACUACUGACUGACCGAUAGUGAACCAGUACCGUGAGGGAAAGGCGAAAAGAACCGCGGAGAGCGGAGUGAAAUAGAUCCUGAAACCGUAUGCGUACAAGCAGUGGGAGCCCACUUUGUUGGGUGACUGCGUACCUUUUGUAUAAUGGGUCAGCGACUUAUUUUCAGUGGCGAGCUUAACCGAAUAGGGGAGGCGUAGCGAAAGCGAGUCUUAAUAGGGCGUCUAGUCGCUGGGAAUAGACCCGAAACCGGGCGAUCUAUCCAUGGGCAGGUUGAAGGUUGGGUAACACUAACUGGAGGACCGAACCGACUACCGUUGAAAAGUUAGCGGAUGACCUGUGGAUCGGAGUGAAAGGCUAAUCAAGCUCGGAGAUAGCUGGUUCUCCUCGAAAGCUAUUUAGGUAGCGCCUCAUGUAUCACUGUAGGGGGUAGAGCACUGUUUCGGCUAGGGGGUCAUCCCGACUUACCAAACCGAUGCAAACUCCGAAUACCUACAAGUGCCGAGCAUGGGAGACACACGGCGGGUGCUAACGUCCGUCGUGAAAAGGGAAACAACCCAGACCGUCAGCUAAGGUCCCAAAGUCAUGGUUAAGUGGGAAACGAUGUGGGAAGGCUUAGACAGCUAGGAGGUUGGCUUAGAAGCAGCCACCCUUUAAAGAAAGCGUAAUAGCUCACUAGUCGAGUCGGCCUGCGCGGAAGAUGUAACGGGGCUCAAACCAUGCACCGAAGCUACGGGUAUCAUCUUAGGAUGAUGCGGUAGAGGAGCGUUCUGUAAGCCUGUGAAGGUGAGUUGAGAAGCUUGCUGGAGGUAUCAGAAGUGCGAAUGCUGACAUGAGUAACGACAAUGGGUGUGAAAAACACCCACGCCGAAAGACCAAGGUUUCCUGCGCAACGUUAAUCGACGCAGGGUUAGUCGGUCCCUAAGGCGAGGCUGAAAAGCGUAGUCGAUGGAAAACAGGUUAAUAUUCCUGUACUUCUGGUUAUUGCGAUGGAGGGACGGAGAAGGCUAGGCCAGCCUGGCGUUGGUAGUCCAGGUUUAAGGUGGUAGGCUGAGAUCUUAGGUAAAUCCGGGAUCUUAAGGCCGAGAGCUGAUGACGAGUGUUCUUUAGAACACGAAGUGGUUGAUGCCAUGCUUCCAAGAAAAGCUUCUAAGCUUCAGGUAACCAGGAACCGUACCCCAAACCGACACAGGUGGUUGGGUAGAGAAUACCAAGGCGCUUGAGAGAACUCGGGUGAAGGAACUAGGCAAAAUGGCACCGUAACUUCGGGAGAAGGUGCGCCGGUGGAGGUGAAGCAUUUACUGCGUAAGCCCCUGCCGGUCGAAGAUACCAGGCCGCUGCGACUGUUUAUUAAAAACACAGCACUCUGCAAACACGAAAGUGGACGUAUAGGGUGUGACGCCUGCCCGGUGCCGGAAGGUUAAUUGAUGGGGUUAGCGCAAGCGAAGCUCUUGAUCGAAGCCCCGGUAAACGGCGGCCGUAACUAUAACGGUCCUAAGGUAGCGAAAUUCCUUGUCGGGUAAGUUCCGACCUGCACGAAUGGCGUAACGAUGGCGGCGCUGUCUCCACCCGAGACUCAGUGAAAUUGAAAUCGCUGUGAAGAUGCAGUGUAUCCGCGGCUAGACGGAAAGACCCCGUGAACCUUUACUAUAGCUUUGCACUGGACUUUGAAUUUGCUUGUGUAGGAUAGGUGGGAGGCUUUGAAGCGUGGACGCCAGUCUGCGUGGAGCCAACCUUGAAAUACCACCCUGGCAACUUUGAGGUUCUAACUCAGGUCCGUUAUCCGGAUCGAGGACAGUGUAUGGUGGGUAGUUUGACUGGGGCGGUCUCCUCCUAAAGAGUAACGGAGGAGUACGAAGGUGCGCUCAGACCGGUCGGAAAUCGGUCGUAGAGUAUAAAGGCAAAAGCGCGCUUGACUGCGAGACAGACACGUCGAGCAGGUACGAAAGUAGGUCUUAGUGAUCCGGUGGUUCUGUAUGGAAGGGCCAUCGCUCAACGGAUAAAAGGUACUCCGGGGAUAACAGGCUGAUACCGCCCAAGAGUUCAUAUCGACGGCGGUGUUUGGCACCUCGAUGUCGGCUCAUCACAUCCUGGGGCUGAAGCCGGUCCCAAGGGUAUGGCUGUUCGCCAUUUAAAGUGGUACGCGAGCUGGGUUUAGAACGUCGUGAGACAGUUCGGUCCCUAUCUGCCGUGGACGUUUGAGAUUUGAGAGGGGCUGCUCCUAGUACGAGAGGACCGGAGUGGACGAACCUCUGGUGUUCCGGUUGUCACGCCAGUGGCAUUGCCGGGUAGCUAUGUUCGGAAAAGAUAACCGCUGAAAGCAUCUAAGCGGGAAACUUGCCUCAAGAUGAGAUCUCACUGGAACCUUGAGUUCCCUAAAGGGCCGUCGAAGACUACGACGUUGAUAGGUUGGGUGUGUAAGCGCUGUGAGGCGUUGAGCUAACCAAUACUAAUUGCCCGUGAGGCUUGACCAU
This 2891-nucleotide ribosomal RNA is filed under the name Pseudomonas syringae pv. syringae CRAFRU12. Its description in RNAcentral is "bacterial LSU rRNA". It matches the Rfam family "Bacterial large subunit ribosomal RNA". The record is from RNAcentral. Lineage: Bacteria; Pseudomonadati; Pseudomonadota; Gammaproteobacteria; Pseudomonadales; Pseudomonadaceae.